RNAcentral lists this ribosomal RNA (296 nucleotides) under uncultured bacterium. Its description in RNAcentral is "partial 16S ribosomal RNA". It matches the Rfam family "Bacterial small subunit ribosomal RNA", at positions 333 to 646 of the family's 1533-position model. The record is from RNAcentral.
GGCGACCUACGGGACGCAGCAGUGGGGAAUAUUGGACAAUGGGGGAAACCCUGAUCCAGCGACGCCGCGUGAGUGAAGAAGUAUUUCGGUAUGUAAAGCUCUAUCAGCAGGGAAGAAAAUGACGGUACCUGACUAAAAAGCCCCGGCUAACUACGUGCCAGCAGCCGCGGUAAUACGUAGGGGGCAAGCGUUAUCCGGAUUUACUGGGUGUAAAGGGAGCGUAGACGGCAUAGCAAGUCUGAUGUGAAAGAUCGGGGCUCAACCCCGGGCGUGCAUUGGAAACUGUUAAGCUGGAG